This 403-nucleotide ribosomal RNA is filed under the name uncultured bacterium. RNAcentral's name for it is "partial 16S ribosomal RNA". It matches the Rfam family "Bacterial small subunit ribosomal RNA", at positions 30 to 526 of the family's 1533-position model. The record is from RNAcentral.
AUUGAACGCUGGCGGCCGGCCUAACACAUGCAAGUCGAGCGAGCGGCGGACUGGUGAGUAAUGUAUGGGGACUGCCCGAUAGAGGGGGAUAACUACUUUAUACGUUAGCUAAUACCGCAUACUCUCGGAUAACCCAUAUGGGAUUAGCUAGUAGGUGUGGUAAUGGCUCACCUAGGCGACGAUCCCUAGCUGGUCUGAGAGGUUGAUCAGCAGCAAUGGGACUGGGACACGGCCCAGACGCCUACGGAGGCAGCAGUGGGGAAUAGUGCACAAUGGGCGCAAGCCUAAUGCAGCGAUGCCGCGUGUAUGAAGAAGGCCGUAGGGAUGUAGAGUACGGUCAGUCGGGAGGCGUUACCGACAGAAGAAGCACCGGAUAACUCCGUGCCAGCCGCCGCGGUAAUUC